RNAcentral lists this long non-coding RNA (989 nucleotides) under Paramuricea clavata. Lineage: Eukaryota; Metazoa; Cnidaria; Anthozoa; Malacalcyonacea; Plexauridae. The record is from RNAcentral.
UGACAACCUUUUUUUGGCUCUCAAAGGUCAAUAAUUUCUCAAACAUGCCAAGUCUGUACAUGUUUAAUAAUCUAAUCUGUUUAUUUUUUAUUUUGCUUUUCUAGAUUGCCAAUCAUUCCUGUUGAACUACAUUGUUCAUUACAAUGAAUCAGAUGCAGAUUCUUACAACUAUGUUAAUUUGUUCACCUGAUUGGGGAAAACCUGAGACUAUUUGAUCUUAUAUUGGAAUGCCUACCAAUUUUACAUAGCCUCAGGCAAUGUUUAUAUAAUUAAUCUUGAGUAAUAGAGAUGCUGUACCCCCUGACGGUGUGACCUUGCUACCUGGAUCAUCCCACUAGGCAAGACAAGUUCAAAACUUUCCAUGCAAACACUUGCAUGGCAGUUGCUAUAAUAGGAUAUGAAUAUAGUUUUGCCUUGCCAGGGUGGCUCGGGGGGUAGGAUUUCCCUAGUACCCGGAGACCAUAUAAACAGGCCGUCAGAUUACUGUAAUAGUUUAAUUGAGGUUCAAAAAAGCAGCCCCCCCCCAAGUGGUAGGCCUGCUCCCCAAAUCCAGCCCCCCUUGGAAGAUGUACUGUAAAGGUAGACAAUUUUACUUGUUAGCCCAACUUUAUUAUUCUGUCUAACACCAGACGAUCCAGUUAACCCAUCGAGUUGCAUUGCAUGUGCCCUGAUGCACCCUACUUUAUUAUUUUACUCUGUCUAACGCCAGACGAUUUUACUCGUCAAGGGGUGAGCACACUUUAACAGGCAAAGUAUUAAUUGGGAAUACUUUCUCUUUUAAUGGGAAACUCUUUAUCAAUAAAAGGAACAAUGCAAUUAUUCAUAGUAUUUAAUUUUUCAUAUAAAGCAAAGACUGUAAGAGGAAACAUGGAUCAUUGGCUACUUUUUUUAUUUAGUAUAAAUUUUCAUGACAACAUGUGGGGUCAACUAUAAAGGAAACAGUUAUUGCCUAUUUUGGAAUAAAAAAAUUAGAAUUAUAGCAAUAUUCA